Molecule: non-coding RNA, 90 nt
Organism: Acanthosepion pharaonis
Lineage: Eukaryota; Metazoa; Mollusca; Cephalopoda; Sepiida; Sepiidae
Source: the annotation of a GenBank genome assembly
ACCGGUUCUCGUACGACCACCAAAGUUAAGCAUCGUCGAGUCUGGUCAGUAACUAGAGAGGUGACCGCUUGGGAAUACAAGGUGCUGUAA